GUGGGGAAUUUUGGACAAUGGGGGCAACCCUGAUCCAGCAAUGCCGCGUGCAGGAAGAAGGCCUUCGGGUUGUAAACUGCUUUUGUACGGAACGAAACGGUCUGGGUUAAUACCCUGGGCUAAUGACGGUACCGUAAGAAUAAGCACCGGCUAACUACGUGCCAGCAGCCGCGGUAAUACGUAGGGUGCGAGCGUUAAUCGGAAUUACUGGGCGUAAAGCGUGCGCAGGCGGUUUUGUAAGACAGGCGUGAAAUCCCCGGGCUCAACCUGGGAAUGGCGCUUGUGACUGCAAAGCUGGAGUGCGGCAGAGGGGGAUGGAAUUCCGCGUGUAGCAGUGAAAUGCGUAGAUAUGCGGAGGAACACCGAUGGCGAAGGCAAUCCCCUGGGCCUGCACUGACGCUCAUGCACGAAAGCGUGGGGAGCAAACAGGAUUAGAUACCCGUGUAGUCC
This 450-nucleotide ribosomal RNA is filed under the name uncultured bacterium. RNAcentral describes it as "partial 16S ribosomal RNA". It matches the Rfam family "Bacterial small subunit ribosomal RNA", at positions 354 to 796 of the family's 1533-position model. The record is from RNAcentral.